GAACCAGGGAAGCUGACUGUGUAACUCCUAGUUGAGUGUGAAGACCUGAGGUAUCAGGGGUAGGGGUUGCUCUGCUUGUGUAAGUCCCAUAGUGUGAAGGCCAGAGAACCAAGAGAUGGUCAAGAAGAGAGAGUAAGUGUCCAAUGUCCCAGCUCAAGAAGAGAGAGAGCAUCACGACCUGUGCAGACUCCCCAGCAUCAUAACAGGAAGGUCCCACGAUCACGAGCACAUUGCCUUCAGCAUCCAGCACUGAAUAUGGUGAAUUGCACUCUGAAGAGCUUCCUAAGCUUGUAAGAAAGUGAUUCUGAAAAGCUCAACAUUUUGGUAGAAUGGAGAGAUUUGACAUUGCUUCUGCUCCAAAAGCAAAAGACUUGGGAAGGGCACCCUGGGAGUUGAGAACAUCCACCACAGAGAGGCCUGGCGUAAAGGAGAUGGGACUCACACCCAAGAGGAUGCAUUUCCAUACACCCAUUUCUGAAAUAUGAAGAGGUGUCCAGUCUGUUUGAUUCAUAGCUGCCUGUUCCACAACUGCAGAUACAGUAAUUGAUAACCGAGACCAAGUUCUCAUCCCCAUCUCCCAGGGCUGGAACUGGGGCUGUGUUUGGUUCUCAUAAGAUCAGUUCCAGUUUUAGAAACUGAGUAAAUUGUGGAGUAAAUAUUGCCAAGUGAUGGCUUUCUGCUGUAGGCGUGGGUCGCUGUUGGCCAUUUGCCUCAGCAUAUCACCAGCAAUGCACCUCAUUGCAUCACUGCAUUUCCAAUUACACCUCAAAGCACCACUGGUCCCCUGUCCACCCUCUGCCCUGCAGAGGUGGGUGUUCAGGGAGACAGAUCCAAAAUCUGGGCUCAGAAGAUGGAAAUGCCAACUGCUCUCAAUUUGAGAGUGGGGAUGAGACUUUUUGACUCAACUCUGGUUAAUUCAGCCAUGCUGUCAGAGCUGCUUUGAUGCAAGGACAUCUGAAUGCUAUCUGAAUGCUGCCCCUAAAAUAACAAAUUAAAAACAACAACAACAACAAAAA
Molecule: long non-coding RNA, 1016 nt
Filed under: Homo sapiens (human)
Lineage: Eukaryota; Metazoa; Chordata; Mammalia; Primates; Hominidae
Description: long intergenic non-protein coding RNA 1584
Source: RNAcentral